This is a non-coding RNA of Trichobilharzia regenti, 45 nucleotides long. The record is from Rfam. Lineage: Eukaryota; Metazoa; Platyhelminthes; Trematoda; Strigeidida; Schistosomatidae.
AUCUAGAUGACGAGUCAGAAAUAGGACGAAAUACGCAUCCUGGAU